UUGAAAUAAAGCUGAUCUGACUGGGAGGGUUGAUUGUGUGUCUGAUAUGAGAAGGAUAAAGAGCUGACCUCUGAUCUGUGCAGGUUCAGACUGGUUUGUGCUUUGAGCUGUUUGGUUCCUGCAGAGCUGAAGAAGGACGACGGUGGAGCUCAGGAGAGGAGCAGAAAGCUGUUGGACUGCAACAAGUUGAGUGGCUGCAGGUUUUCACCAACAUGGAAAGGAUCCAUCAGAACCCAGGACCAGAACCAGAAACAGGACCUGGACCUGGACCUGCACCCAGCUGUGUGUCCUUUAAGAGCGAUGACUCAAAGGAAUUUUUUAUUGACUUUAAAGGAGAUGGAGCUCCUGCUGCUCAGAGGUAAUUGAUAUAUAAAUGCUGUAACUGUAUAAAAUGUCAGUGAAUCAGUUUUAUUGUCUUCAUGAAUGAAUCCUCAAACACAUGCUGAGUCUUUGUCACAUCCAUGGAAAUGUUCCUGUCAGAGAGGAAAGAAUGGAUGCUGUGGUUCUGUGGUGAAGCAGCUGCAGGACACCAGCUGAUCCAGCAGGUGGCGUCUUUGUGCUUUGGCUCAAACAGAGUAGACAGGAAGCUGCACUCAGGUUUCAGGUGCUGCUGGAUGGAGGAGGACAAAUACCAAACAGUGAACACUGCUGUGAUGUCCUGGAGAGACAUUUGUCUUCAUGGAGGUUUGUGGAUGCUGGUUAGGGAUUGUUGCAUUGACAAAGUGAAGAAGUUGUGCUGUGGUCAGUGAACUUAAA
Long non-coding RNA from Acanthochromis polyacanthus (spiny chromis), 756 nucleotides. RefSeq lists it as uncharacterized. The transcript has 3 exons. The record is from RefSeq and is a predicted model, not a curated record. NCBI's taxonomy places the organism in Eukaryota, Metazoa, Chordata, Actinopteri, Pomacentridae.